RNAcentral lists this ribosomal RNA (852 nucleotides) under uncultured bacterium. RNAcentral describes it as "bacterial SSU rRNA". It matches the Rfam family "Bacterial small subunit ribosomal RNA", at positions 37 to 896 of the family's 1533-position model. The record is from RNAcentral.
UGGGGGGGGUUGCCUAUACAUGCAAGUCGAACGAAGGGUUUUGUAGUAAUACGGAACCUUUAGUGGCGAAUGGGUGAGUAACGCGUUGGUGACCUACCCCGAAGAGGGGGAUAACAGCUCGAAAGGGCUGCUAAUACCCCAUGUGGUCACAAGGGUUAGAGGCCUUGUGACUAAAGACGUAAGUCGCUUUGGGAGGGGCCUGCGUCCCAUCAGCUAGUUGGUAGGGUAAUGGCCUACCAAGGCUACGACGGGUAGGGGACCUGAGAGGGUGACCCCCCACACUGGCACUGAAACACGGGCCAGACACCUACGGGUGGCAGCAGUAGGGAAUAUUAGACAAUGGGCGAAAGCCUGAUCUAGCAACGCCGCGUGCACGAUGAAGGCCUUCGGGUCGUAAAGUGCUUUUUGAUGGGAUGAGGAAGGACAGUACCAUCAGAAUAAGGAUCGGCUAACUACGUGCCAGCAGCCGCGGUAACACGUAGGAUCCGAGCGUUAUCCGAAUUUACUGGGCGUAAAGCGCUUGCAGGCGGUUUGGUAAGUUGGAUGUGAAAGCUCCUGGCUCAACUGGGAGAAGUCGUUCAAAACUACCAGACUCGAGGACGGUAGAGGGAGGUGGAAUUCCAGGUGUAGUAGUGAAAUCCGUAGAUAUUAGGAGGAACACCGGUGGCGAAGGCGGCUACCUGGACCGAUAUUGACGCUGAGACGCGAAAGCGUGGGGAGCAAACAGGAUUAGAUACCCUGGUAGUCCACGCCGUAAACGAUGAGAACUAGUGUUGCGGGUAUUGACCCCUGCAGUGCCGCAGCUAACGCAUUAAGUUUCUCCGCCUGGGAAGUACCGGUCGCCAAGGACUA